RNAcentral lists this ribosomal RNA (496 nucleotides) under uncultured bacterium. Its description in RNAcentral is "partial 16S ribosomal RNA". It matches the Rfam family "Bacterial small subunit ribosomal RNA", at positions 28 to 507 of the family's 1533-position model. The record is from RNAcentral.
GACGAACGCUGGCGGCGUGCCUAAUACAUGCAAGUCGAACGCUGAAGAGAGGAGUUUACUCUUCUUGGGUGUGUUGCGAACGGGUGAGUAACGCGUAGGUAACCUGCCUUGCAGUGGGGAUAACUAUUGGAAACGAUAGCUAAUACCGCAUAACAAUGGAUGACACAUGUCAUUUAUUUGAAAGUGGCAAUUGCUCCACUACAAGAUGGACCUGCGUUGUAUGAGCUAGUAGGUGAGGUAAUGGCUCACUUAGGCGAGGGUACAUAGUAGACCUGAGAGGGUGGGCGGCCGGACUGGGAGUGAGACACGGCACAGACUCCUACGGGUGCGGGCCGGACGCAUACUGGAGCAAGGAGGGCGAACCUGAGCGAGCAACGCGGCAUGCGGGAAGAAGGUCGUCGGAUGGGGAAUCUCUGUUUUAAGUCAAGAACGGGUGUGAGCCUGGAAAGUUCACACUGUGACGGUAGCUGACCAGAAAGGAACGGCUAACUACGUG